Long non-coding RNA from Helianthus annuus (common sunflower), 530 nucleotides. RefSeq lists it as uncharacterized. The record is from RefSeq and is a predicted model, not a curated record. Lineage: Eukaryota; Viridiplantae; Streptophyta; Magnoliopsida; Asterales; Asteraceae. The transcript has 3 exons.
UCUACCAACAACUUAUAAUUAAAGCCCAACUGACUAAACCCUAACUUCUUUUAUCACUUCAGCUGCAUCCCAAACCAGACCCCCAAACCUUUCUUCUCUCCCGAUUUUCUGGUCACCGGCGCCGCAACUCCGGCCGGCUGCCGACGACGGGUUCUCCUCCUUCUCCUACACCUACAGCCCCUCCCCAAUCUUGUUUAACACAUCUCGACAUCACCACAACCUUUUCGAAUCACGGGCGCGUUGCUUGAACUCGGAGCUCUCGCGGGAAAACCUGCAAGUGGCCGGAAGCUCGCAUCGGAACGGAGCUCGAAGACGUCGGAACUCGUGUUCGCCGUAACCGUCUGAACAAUCCUGUCGUCGCCGGAGAUCGGAAACCCGCGGGUGUUAUCUCGUUUUUGGAUAACCAUUUCGUCCGUUCUUUUGGAUUUUAUCCAAUCUUACUCGUGCGUUACUUACAAGAAAUCGCAACGCAACCAAUGUUGAUGAGGACGAUGCUAAGAAAAGAAAUAGCGUUGAUGCCUAGAUACACA